Molecule: long non-coding RNA, 829 nt
Filed under: Struthio camelus australis
Lineage: Eukaryota; Metazoa; Chordata; Aves; Struthioniformes; Struthionidae
Description: lncRNA (ENSSCUG00000001767.1)
Source: RNAcentral
GAGAUGAGCAGAAAAAGGCAGAGUCAGUUGCUUCAAUAAUCGCUGAGCUACCUGCAGAGAAACAGGCAACCAUAAAAACAAAGAAAACAAUAGAGAAAGGGAUACAGAGGGAGCCUCUGCUGAGUGGCGUAGGAUGGGCUAGCUGGCGCCUCCAAGAGCUCUUCUAAAACUGCAGGUUAAAAAUACCUUCUGCGGCAAUCAGUACAAAAGCCAGACCUUGGGUUUUAUACGAGCCUCUAUUGCUCAGGCACCUGUACAGAGAGCUUUCCAGCGCAGUGGAAACGAGGGGGCAGGCGGGGCUCUGUUUCACUGGGUUGCUCCCUGCCCAGGCUGAAGGUUUUGGUGGACCGCUGCUUUGAGCGCCCAGGCAACAGGGACAGUGAUGUGAUCAAUAUGACAUCAAUAAAGGGCACUGUCCAGAAGAAGUGAGUGGAUUCAUUUCAUAGAGCUCUAAUCUCUAAGUCUCUCUAAGACUGGUAAGAUAAGACACCCUUGGAAGAUGCUCACCUCUCCUUUCACUUUGAUGAUCUCAUUUUGAUUUGAGAAGUUAAAUCUUUUCAUAUUGAAAAGUCUCCCUCCUAAGUCAAUGUGAAGCAAGACAGACUGCCAGAGGACAGCUGAGAUCUCUAGGCACAAGAGAUGCUUGUCUAUCGGUUGGCUACAAGGACUUACCUCCAUUGACACAGUUCGUUGCCGCUCCUUGUCUGAAGCCCAGUGAUGCACAAUCCUCUCUCCAGCUCCCUCUCCCACCUCCCCAUACCACCACCACGGCAUCCUACGAUGAUGAAAAUAGCUGUCACAGCUGUGAUGACCUGGGGCUGAAAUGGUA